GUGAUUCUUCAAAGGAGAGAGGGAAAGCAGGAAGGAAUGAAGUAUUUACUUUAAAAAAAAUCACCACUUUUAGGAUUCACUGUAAUUGUUAGAAUGUGGUUGAGAUUUAUUUUU
This is a small nuclear RNA of Vidua chalybeata, 114 nucleotides long. The record is from RefSeq and is a predicted model, not a curated record. NCBI's taxonomy places the organism in Eukaryota, Metazoa, Chordata, Aves, Passeriformes, Viduidae.